GUCGGACGAGGCGUGAGUCUCCAUCUCCUCAACCGAGGCAAGAGAGAGAGACUCGGUUGGCAGGGAAAAAGGCGGCGGGGGGGGGGGGGGGGUAGUCAUUCGAGCAACAGUUGUGAGAGAGUCCCAUCCUGUAGAAAAUUUCACUCCUUUCAGUCAAUACAAAAUGUGAAACUCAACGCCGUAAAUCCAUACAGAUGACUAGAAACAAGAAAAUGCUGUCAGGAGGCCAGUUUCUAGUCAAGCUCGAUCGUAAGACACGUUUUUAAUUGGCUCUUAUCUAAUGUUGUGUAAGCCGCAGAUGGUGACUUUUUGGUUUGAAUGUAGAAUCGUCAACAUUCCCAAAGAUAGGAUCGUGAAUCAUUUCACCGUUUCAACUUUUCAAAUCAAACUACUAAAAUAAACUCAAUUUCUCCUCGCUUUUCUAAUUUAUUGCGAUGUGUGUGAAAUGGGAGUGUAGUAUAAUGUAAGAAGAAAUGGCAUCAAUUGAAUUUAUAUAAAGACAGCCAGCUAGCUAGCUAGCUAGCCAGCCAGCCAGCCAGCUAGCUAG
Long non-coding RNA from Hippocampus zosterae (dwarf seahorse), 547 nucleotides. RefSeq lists it as uncharacterized. The transcript is spliced from 2 exons. The record is from RefSeq and is a predicted model, not a curated record. NCBI's taxonomy places the organism in Eukaryota, Metazoa, Chordata, Actinopteri, Syngnathiformes, Syngnathidae.